Molecule: ribosomal RNA, 497 nt
Filed under: uncultured bacterium
Lineage: Bacteria
Description: partial 16S ribosomal RNA
Rfam family: Bacterial small subunit ribosomal RNA
Source: RNAcentral
GACGAACGCUGGCGGCGUGCCUAAUACAUGCAAGUAGAACGCUGAAGAGAGGAGCUUGCUCUUCUUGGAUGAGUUGCGAACGGGUGAGUAACGCGUAGGUAACCUGCCUUGUAGCGGGGGAUAACUAUUGGAAACGAUAGCUAAUACCGCAUAACAAUGGAUGACACAUGUCAUUUAUUUGAAAGGGGCAAUUGCUCCACUACAAGAUGGACCUGCGUUGUAUUAGCUAGUAGGUGAGGUAACGGCUCACCUAGGCGACGAUACAUAGCCGACCUGAGAGGGUGAUCGGCCACACUGGGACUGAGACACGGCCCAGACUCCUACGGGAGGCAGCAGUAGGGAAUCUUCGGCAAUGGGGGCAACCCUGACCGAGCAACGCCGCGUGAGGGAAGAAGGUUUUCGGAUCGUAAAGCUCUGUUGUAAGUCAAGAACGAGUGUGAGAGUGGAAAGUUUACACUGUGACGGUAGCUUACCAGAAAGGGACGGCUAACUACGUG